UACGUAGGGUGCAAGCGUUGUCCGGAAUUAUUGGGCGUAAAGAGCUCGUAGGCGGUUUGUCGCGUCUGCUGUGAAAACUCGGGGCUCAACCCCGAGCUUGCAGUGGGUACGGGCAGACUAGAGUGCGGUAGGGGAGAUUGGAAUUCCCGGUGUAGCGGUGAAAUGCGCAGAUAUCGGGAGGAACACCUAUGGCGAAGGCAGCUCGCUGGGACGUUACUGACGCUGAGGCGCGAAAGCCAGGGGAGCAAACGGG
This 253-nucleotide ribosomal RNA is filed under the name uncultured bacterium. Its description in RNAcentral is "partial 16S ribosomal RNA". It matches the Rfam family "Bacterial small subunit ribosomal RNA", at positions 524 to 776 of the family's 1533-position model. The record is from RNAcentral.